Molecule: RNA transcript, 3374 nt
Organism: Anopheles stephensi (Asian malaria mosquito)
Lineage: Eukaryota; Metazoa; Arthropoda; Insecta; Diptera; Culicidae
Gene name: keratin-associated protein 5-5-like
Exons: 11
Source: RefSeq, a predicted model, not a curated record
UUGUGGUAAUAAUUUAUGUGCUUUAUCGUCCGUAUUUAAACCCAGAUUUCCUGCAAACUGUUGAUUUCCGUCCAAUAUCCCAUUUACAGUGCAAUUGGUCGUGGUUUUCAUACGCGCGUUCCGUCCGUGGUAACAUAAAAGCUAACAAACAUUGAAGCAUAACUGCGGUGAGAAAGACGACGGCGCGAGGCAACUCUCUCUGACAUGCUGAAAUAUUCGGUGGGUGCUGACUGAGGGAGUGAUUGCCGAUGAAACAGCAUUCGAAGCAACAACAAAAAAAACUUCCGAACAUACACCGUGAUAUGUGGAAGAGUGCAUCCACCGAUAAAACAAAGGAGCAUCUUCGGUGCCGAGGAGGCCCCGAAAAAAAAACCAACAACCCCCUUGUUGGAGUUGCACGGCGAAACAAAACGGCCACAUGAAACAGGAAGGCAAUCAUAAUAACGGUGCAAAACAAAUGAAGAGAUAUAAGUACGGCACGGCCAGUCUUAACUCCCUCACACGGCGCAGACAGGUACAUCACCAGCUUCUUUUUUGCUCCGGACAUGAACGGCAGCAAAAGUCAAACGGCAACACUAUUAUCACACACAAACACCCACAAAAAAAACGUUCUUCGCCGUACUCCGGAGCGUGGUACUCGGGACCUGAGGGACGGGCGUAUUGCAUAUGAGCGCACGAGAGGCAGUGCGUCUCCGCGAGCUAUUAAGAUGCGCCAAGUGUUCUGGUUGCUCGGAGGAUUCUUUCCAUUUUACACUCCAUUUUACUGGAUGAUGGACUGGGCGAAAAGUGAACACGUUCUUCACCAUAAAAGAGCUCGUCGUUGCGUUCAUCGAUUCAUCUAAACUUUUGGAAUGUAUUACAUGAAGACUUCUUCUAGUAAGCUGGACUCAAAAUUCAAUUGGAAAAUAAUUAAAAUAUUUUUUUCCAACUUCGAACACUGUGCGAAAACAAACGCAUGAGCGUAGCAGGCACAGCAGCGAAGCUACGUUCCAAAACAACCGAUGUUCAUCAUUCAAGUAGCACCUUCACAUGGGCGAAAAUUCCCAUAGCAACCAAAAUAACAGUAUAUAACCGAGCAGCACGUCCAGCACGGUUAUUAAAAUUUUAACUUUCGAACGGAGAAGUUCUCUUUAAGGAAGAAAAUUAAGGAAAAAAAAAGUUUCGAAAUUUUCAAGUGUGUUUAGUAGUGUGAAUCGAAGUCCCGUCAUAUUUUGCUAGAACUUUUACAACUUGAAGAAACCACUGAAGCUAUCCGGAUUGAGCCCUUGAAUCUCUGUGCCUGUUUGAAAAUCGAACCACUAGCUACUCGCUACAUCCUACUACGCCGUUAAUAUUUGAUUUAUUCGUCAAGUCAAUCUACCCGAAACGAAAAUGUGCGAUCCGUGCUGUGGUCCCUGCGAUCCUUGCUACUCCUGCUAUCCUUGCUCGACCCCCCGUUCCCCCUCCUAUAUCUGUUGGUGGAAGCGUCCAUUUAUUGUGUUCGACAGUACCGAUACGGUGCACUACACGUGGAAUCUGCGCCGCAAGGAACCGAAUAUUCCGGAUAUUCGGUACGAAGAAAUGUACGAUCGGUGCCGGCGAAGAAUAUUUUAAAUGCUUUAUCAUCCUUCCCCCCCCCCCAAUAUGGUGUGGCAUAGGAGUGGGGAAACGGUGGGGGCCCCUGUGGACCCUGCGGACCUUGUGGACCUUGUGGUCCUUGCGAUCCGUGUGGAUCGUGUGGACCGUGUGGGCCUUGUGGACCAUGUGGACCGUGUGAUCCGUGUGGUCCUUGCGGACCGUGUGGACCCUGUGGUCCUUGCGGACCGUGUGGACCGUGCGGUCCAUGCGGACCGUGCGAUCCUUGCGAACCAACCUGUCGCACCGCCCACGACCUUAACUGCAUGCCCCAGUGUCCCACCAUCUGCCCUCCCCAACGAUGUGGACCACGGUUCAUUACGGUGCAGCAACCGCCCCGUCUGGUCGCACAGAAGAAGGUGAUCAACUGUUCGCGUACGGUGAUUGACAAGCACGUCGUGCCGCAAACCAAAGCGAUCGUCGAACCGAAGCUUAUCUACCAGCCCAAAACGAUUUGCGAGCCGUGCAUUAUCUACAAGCGGCGUACCGUGCCGGAACCUAGAAUUAUCUACUACAAGCGCAUCGUACCGGACCCGAAGGUGGUCUGUACGCCGCGCGUCAUCGUGGAACCGAAGGAGAUCUGCACCACGCUCGUUUGCCAACCGAAGCCGCAAGUUGUGCAAGUGCCGCCGGCUCGGGAGUACUGCUGCGUACCGGCCGGUACCACGUUCUACAAAAAUGGCUGCUGUCCGCCCAGUGUCGGCCCGAUCUGUGCUCCAAAACGGUGCUAGGAAGCGAACAGGAAAGGGAGCAGCUCUCGCUCUCUCUCUCUGGAGUGUUGCAAAAUCCGUUGAUGGUCGCCGAAACCAUGCAAGAGUCGUGAACUGCGAGGCGGCAUCCUGAUCUCCAACUGCGAGUGUCUUAAACGCAAUGGUCUGCAGCAUGAUUGUCCGCGCUCAGAGUGUCAGGCAAAACCAUGCUGUCUUACCAAACCGGAAGCCUCCUGCUGUCCAUCGCAAUGGGCUCGAAGAUACCGAUUUGUGACGAUGGGCAAGAAGAGUAACCCGGUUCGUCCGAAGGUUUGCUGCCUACCGACUGGUGGUGGCGGUUGCAAUCCUUGCCCCAUUGAUCCAACAUGCUGUGGUCCGAUCUGUGAUCCUUGCUGUGCGCCGUGUGGUCCCUGUGGCCCAUGUGGUCCUUGUGGGCCAUGCGACCCGUGUGGACCUUGCGGACCUUGUGCUCCUUGCGGACCGUGCGGACCUUGCGACCCAUGCUGUCCACCCGUAUGUGGUCCAGUUUGUGAUCCGUGUUGCCCUCCAGUUUGCGACCCUAGCUAUCCUCCAGUGUGUGAUCCUUCCUGCAGCGUGCCGUACUGUGAUCCUUGCAGUGACGCCUGUGUGCCGUGUGGACCGUGCUAGUGUAGAAAAGAUAGAGCUUGUGCUUUGACGCGUGUUUAACACAAAUCCCCGUGUAUCCCAAGCCAAGCCUGUUGCGUAGUGUGCCAACCCACCCGGACCUAGUCUUAGCAUCAAUGUUAUCAAGGCACUCCUAUACUCCGUUCGAAGAAAUACCUGGCGUUUAUCUACGUUUCCCGUUUGCAUAGAAAAUGUUGAGUUGUGGAAAAUUUUAAGACACGUUAUAGCAGCAGCACAUCUUUAGCAAGCUACACCUUUUAGAAGUGGAGAAAGAGAGCAGCAUCGUUAGCAGCAGCAUAUUUAGUGUGGCAGUCAGAUCCAUCUACAAAGAAUAACGCGCUACCCUGCACAGUUAGAAAUCAAGGUUCAAUCAAAUAAAAAGCGUAUAAUCAAUUCGGAAAUCAA